UGCCACAAGGUGGUGAUAAGCGGGAGUGUGGAGUGGCGGGAGUUCGCAGUCACUCUGAGACAGUGGUACCGAGCAGACGUCUGUCGAUUGGCUUGUGAUACUUACACGCACCCAAAAUGACGACGGCGGACCAGCUUACCGAGGAACAGAUUGCCGAAUUCAAGGAGGCGUUCUCCCUGUUCGAUAAGGAUGGUGACGGCACAAUCACAACCAAGGAAUUGGGCACCGUCAUGAGGUCACUUGGACAGAACCCCACCGAGGCUGAGCUUCAGGACAUGAUCAACGAAGUGGACGCUGACGGCAAUGGAACGAUCGACUUCCCCGAGUUCCUGACGAUGAUGGCGCGUAAGAUGAAGGACACUGACUCCGAGGAAGAGAUCAGGGAAGCCUUCAGGGUGUUUGAUAAGGAUGGUAAUGGCUUCAUCUCAGCGGCUGAGCUUAGGCACGUGAUGACCAACCUUGGGGAGAAACUUACCGAUGAGGAAGUCGACGAGAUGAUCAGGGAAGCUGAUAUUGAUGGUGACGGUCAGGUUAACUAUGAAGAGUUUGUGAGAAUGAUGACCUCAAAGUAGCGCCUCGUCGCCCUGUUCUCCUCCCCUCGCCCGUGACUCACCUUCCUAACCUUAGUUUUACCUAGUUCGUCACAAUGAUGACCUCAAAGUGAAGUGAUCGUGCCCACUAAAUAUUGUAAACAAAUUUCAAACGAACAGUUUUUUCUGCUUUCCAGUUUUAUCUUGUUAACGGAACUGCUAAAACCCAUUAUAAUAAACGAGUCACCAUACUAUCUCUUACUUGCUAAAAUCUUGUAUUGCCUUUAUACACUAUCUGGCUCUUUAAGCGCUACCGUCUCAAACAACCACGACAACCACCACCACCACUCUGCCGCUGCCAACACCGCCACCACCACUACUACUACAUCUACUACUUCCAAGAAUUACGAUUGCUGCUACCAACACAACCACCCUGUACUGCCGAAGAAGCCACCACCAUCAGUCAGUCAGUAGCAGCGAAGAUGACGCCAUGCUUUCGUCAGCAGGUGUGGGCGUGGGAGGGUGUGGAGGCGCUUACGGGCGUGCCUGACGGGAAGCCCCCCACUAGGAGUUAAGGACUCGUCGCCCGUAACGGUAGCGCAGUUAUACAUGGGUUGGUUGUUCUAGGGACGCGCUUCGGGUGGCUGGCCUUCUAGAAAAUAUUGAUAUUUAACCGUUAUAUAUACAUAUUACUUAGUAGAAACAGUGUUUGGAUGUGGGGAGAGAGUUUCUUCGCCUGCGUCAAAUACCACCCCAGCACCGCCAACCUUCCUGUAAAGGGAGACAUUAAAGUGUUGCUGGGAUGCCAGAGGAUGAAAACAACUUGUGUAACCCACAGUGGCACCCAUUGUGAAUACAAAUUGCAGCUGGUAAUGAAUUGACGCUAUUGGGAAGAUAAGAAAUAUGGCAUGGAUAUCCCUUAUGAUACAUCACUCAGCGACGAAGGCUCUUCCCCCUUCCCCCCAAGUGUAAGAACUAAUAUAUCAUCGCAACUCUCCCAACACCUUGGAGGACUGCCACCCAUACUCGUCUCUCAAGACCACUAAGCUCUUUCUCUCAUUUUUAUUAGUCCUGUUCUAAAUGAAAGUGGAAAGCUAGGUUGGUCAGUUUUUAAUAAACUGUCGUAGCAAAUUAUCAUUUUUUUUUUUUUUUUAGUUAAUCCAUUGUUUUUCUGCGAGAUGCAUUGUAAAGGAGGAACCUGAGUCCCGCCUGACCUCGCCUGACCCGGGGUCGGUGGUGGCCAUGUUGAGGACCCUUUUUUUUAAUUCCUCUCUUUCUUUUUAUAUUAUUGAACGUUCGCUCAUAGCGACCAUUUUAUAUUUUGUCUGAAAGUCAAUUAUACAGUAAAUAAGGAAGGAGAGGGUGCGCUGUAUUUUUGUGUUGAUUGAAUGAGGUCGAUACAUUUACGUAUCAUAUACUUCUUGUUAGCUGUGUCUUUGUCAAUUUUCUUAAGGAAUAGCAAAUGUAUACAUAUUGCAAAAAACAAAAAUGAACAGUUGAAAAUUUACUCUUGUACUACAUAAUACUAAUGUAAGGCACGUCGCAUCUAUCAAUUUGUUUUAUUUUUUGUUUCUUGUCCACCUCCCACAUUGUUUCACACUGUUUGUUAAGGAUGCCACUUUGAACGCGGAGGCGCUCUAACAGUGAGCUUGACCACUCUUAUUAUUAUGAUUACCAUUCACCAUGCUCAUUAAUGAUGGUUAUAUUAUUAUUGUGUAGGAAAAUAUGGUACUUUAAAACCAGUUUCUCUUUCUGCAACAUGUCACUUUAAUUUAAUUUUUUUUCCUUGUACUUUUCUUGCCAAGUGCGGCAUUGUUGGAUUUUUUUUUAAGCUUAUCUGGGUCUCAACAGUUGACGGAAGGUUUGUAGUCACGCUUCUCAAUUUUGUUUACAUCGCCCAGGGUGGUGACCAUAGCAACGCCCACUCCUAGAUGUGACGCUCCCGGCCCCGCCCACCAGUUUGGAGUGUGGGCGAGGACUGGCGAUGUGUUAGUUUUGGGGUGGUGGGUGAUGCUGGGUACCCACCCUGCAGGCUAUUUUAGAUUCAUUUGGGGGAACCUUAUAUUGGUGGUGCGUGGCGGUAGUUCUGUUGUGUAUCUACCAACAUUGUCUGACACGCGACCAAACUCCGCUUCGCGAUGAACAUUCCUUUAACGCUGCUAUGUUUGUGAGGGGGCGUGGCGCUGUGCGUGUGGUUGAAGCUCGCGCCGCGUCGCCCGUCUUGUUUUAAGUGUGGUACGUGAGGUGAGCGGGAAGUGGCAGGGAGAGUUGGAGAGACACCUGGACCACUGGUGGUCUAGGGAAGGGGGAGAGGGAGGCUGGGCCAGGGCUGGUAGUAACUGCUGCUGCCUUAGCGGACUACUGCUAUACCCACCCAUCACCACCACCUCCAGCACCUGCUGCUGCCACCCAGGGCUGCCUCCACUGCUCUCCCUGCCGCCCCCGCACCCCCAAGCCCUCAGUUGGUGAGACCCGGUGCCGCAGGAACGUUUCCCUACCAUCACCGCCACCCAGCAGCAGCGCCAUUAGCUCGAGCACUGCAGUAGCAGGAGUAUUCGAGUGGUGUUGUUGUCCAGUAGGGUGAUGACUGGUGGAACAGCUGUGCCGACCGGCCGCCCCGCUCCGCCCCACCCACCACCACCACCUGCACCAGUAUGAACGUUUUAUCAACUAAACUAUGUCUUGUGUGUUGGGCCCGCCAUUAAUUUAUUAUAUAUAUAUAUAUAUAUAUAUAUAUAUAUAUAUAUAUAUAUAUAUAUAUAUAUAUAUAUAUAUAUAUAUAUAUAUAUAUAUAUAUAUAUAUAUUUAUUUAUUUAUUUUUUUUUUUUUUUUUACUUGUGGUAUAUAUUUUCCUCCCGCCCCCCACCGCUGCUGCCGCGUGCGUCGUGCCACCGCCGCUGCUGCAGCACACCCUUGGCUGCCACAGUUGUAGACGGGCCCAGUCGCUCUAACAUUGCCGCCGCAUGUUAGCUAAUGUGUCCUGGUGUGGGCGGGGUGGUGGUUACAGCUGCCGUUUUGCCUCCUCCAACUAGGUGUGGGCAGGGUGGUGGUUACAGUCCCCCUAUUGUCUACACCAACCAGGUGUGGGUGGGGUGGUGAUUAUAGACGCCCAACUGACUUCAUCUACUAGGUGUGGGUGUGGGCGGUGGCUGGCGCCAUCCCCUUGCUCUAGCCUGCUGGCACUACCAUGUGUAGGGUGUUGUUCGCCUGGCCCCGGCGUGUCCCACGGGGCCCCCCGUCAUGCCCCCGCCUCGCCCUGUCCCGCGGCCUCUCCCCGCCCAGGCCCCAGUGUGGUAAACCCCUGGAGGCCCCCGGGGGGUGGCGGGUGGCGGCGGGCGGGCAGUGGGCGGGUCGUACUAGUAUUGUUGGUAGUGGUGGCGUGCGGGCGGGCGAGCGGGGCCGAGCCGGGGAGCCUCUCCGGCCGCUUCACCCCCACCACCAGGACGCCAUUAGUAAUUUGAGGACCUGAUGUCAUGUUGUAUUGAAUAAAAAAGAUCAAGAAAGAAA
RNAcentral lists this unclassified non-coding RNA (4037 nucleotides) under Homarus americanus (American lobster). RNAcentral's name for it is "calmodulin, transcript variant X3". The record is from RNAcentral. Lineage: Eukaryota; Metazoa; Arthropoda; Malacostraca; Decapoda; Nephropidae.